GGAGGACUUUGUUUCCUGGUGGCAAAGCCACAGAUCCUGAGCUCAGUGCUGAGAGCCGCCCCACCCUGUUGGCCGCCCUACUUUAUGAUUUCUACUGGCUGCAGGCUGCAUGGGAAGGACCCGCGAGACCCUCCAGACACGCGAUGCCUCCUGGAGUGCCAAGAUGCCAGGAAUGUGCCACCAUGCCUGGCUAAGAUGGGGGUUCCUUCACCAGUCUUAAGCUGGAUCACUGUCCUUGGUGAAAUGAAACUUCAGUGAGGCAUGGUGCUGCCCACCUUUCAUCUGAGCCACUUGGGAUACUGAAGCUGGAUUAUUGAAAUAGCAAGGCCAGGUUGGAGAAUGGACCAUGAGCCAGAUCAACAUACAGUAAAAUCACUGGGGCUGUGUCUCCAAUUAAAGUAAUUUGUGUAACAUGUGCAAGGCCCUGAAUUCAGUCCAGUACUAAAGCAUAAAAGAAAAAGUGAUAAUAAUCAGUAGAAAAUUUACUUUGAUUUGGAAUUUUAUACUGUUUGCACACUAGUGGUCUGUGGCACAAUACUUGCUCCAGAUGCUGGGCAGCAGCAGUGAGUCCCUGCUGUCAGUGACAGGACACCAAGUGACAACAUCCAGUGAUCUACAUUGCAGCACAUUCAAUAAACUACAUGGGGUAUUUAAUAUUUUAUCAUGAAAUAAGCUAUGUGUUACAUACAUUUUCUAAAAUACAGGUUAAUAUAAGUGUGUUUAUCAGUUUUAAAGGAGGCAAGGCUUAGCAAAGUUUGCUGAUUAUGUAUGUUCAGUGCAUUUUCAAUAUGUUAUAGUUUGAAGUGCCUGUGGGUUGAUCAAGAUAUUUCCCCUUGAUAACUGAAGCAGAAUGUGUAGACUCAUUCCUUCAACUCUUUGUAAAGUGCUUCUCUGUAGAAUAUGAAGCUUAUCAGAUAGUACCCAGUGUUGAGUGCUGUAUUAAUCAGGUUCUUCCAAGGAACUGAACUGGGAUACAUUAUGAGUAGUGAUUUGAUUUUUUUAAAAAGCAGGGCUAUGGCUUUUGUGUUCUGGUUUUGGUUUGGUUUUUUUGGUUGUUUAUUAAUUUUAGUAUUAUAGAGAGAUGCAUCAUUCUGGUCACAAUGUCUUGCUUGUUCCUUGAGGACAAGGAGAUAGGAUAGGCAUUGGACCACAAGACACUGUGUAUGUAUACUGCUGAAAUGAAAACUCUUCCAUUCCUAGUUCUAUUUUGUGCUGAUUGUGGGAACCAUUGUUACUGCCUCAGUCUUGGAGAAAGUGUUUGGCUUUCUACUGUACCCUUUUCUGUUUUCCCAUUACCUCUUCCUGGCCUUAAUGGACUGAACUCCUGUCUGCCUGGAACAGUCACCUCCCAGACUUGAGGCUCUUUCUCCUUUGCAAUGACUUACAUUACUCUAGGGGAGAUGACCACAAGCAUUUGUUCUGUGUUCCAUAUGUGGCUGGAGUAUGCAGUCUCUGAAAUUCUCCAGAGUUCUGAAUUCUCCAUACCUUGUAGAGAACUCUCUCAUGUUGACAUCCUCAAGAAGCCUGUAGGAAUGGCCUCUGCAGAAGGGGCACAGCUGAGAUAAAGCACAGAGCUUCACUUCACUUACCUCUAGUCUGGCCUCUACCUCCGCACUGUGUGUCAUCAUAGCACAACAAGCUGUGGAGAUCUUUGUGAAGUUUUGCUCUAGUAGAAUCUGAAAGGAGGUGGGGAGGGGUAGAAAAAGAGAAAAACUACCUGGCAUGGUGGUGCAUGUCUGUAAUCCCAGAACUCAGGAGGCUGAAUCAGAAGGAUUGCCAUGAGUUUGAGGGCAGUCUGGGCUACAUAGUAAGACCCUGUCUGAAAAAAUAAAUUAAUUCAAAAUAAGUAAAAAAGCAUUUAAGUACAGAUGGAGAGAUAUUUGUGUCACUCAUCUUGGAUUUGUAAUGCAGAGUUAGAAAAAUGUCACCAUGUGGGAUCUUUUUGCCCUCUCAGGGUGCCACAUCAUCCAGGAUCUUAUGUGUCUGCUGGCCCUACUAAGUCAGAUAUUCAGCCACUGGUGGUGAUUCCAUACUUCAGAAAACAUGUGCAUGUAACAUAAUACCUCACUUGUCUUUUCUAAAGUCUUUGGAAAGCAGGAUUCUCAAGUUCUAUCAGUGAUAUAAAUGCACUGGAAAUAUUCUCUUUCCUGCUGCCCUAGAGACAAAUUAGAGACCAUGCUGCUGUUGCUCAGGAGCAUGCUUGCUAGUGCACGGAGCAUGUAUCAGUUUAAAAUCUAACACACACUGUCCACACUACCACCAGGGAACAAUAAUUCCUAUUUCUCUUCCUGACAAUUACCAAAUGUUUUCUUAUUUGCUGAAUUUUUCUGAUUUGAAUUGAUAUUCCAUUCCAUUUUUCCAUUUAUGCCUUCUUUUUCCCCCUUUCCUGUAUAGGCCUUUCUGUAAUUUAUUUGCUUAUAUUAUGUGUUCACAUUUGUGUUGAGGAUAGUUUCUUAAUAACCUAUUUUCUCUUUUAGUUAUUUAUCACUUGUAGAGAAUGAAAAUACCUUCUACAAUUUUUAAUCCACAGGUUAGUUUCAUUAAGGAUCUUCUUUGCUGAACAGAAAUCAUGUUACUCUCUUUGUAUCUUUUUAUAGUCACCUUAACAUUUGUGCCUUUACAAAUUUGUAUCUGAAGAUUUUCCCACUCUUACCAAAUGAGAAAAUGAUUUUCUUAUGUUUUCAUCCGUGUUUUACAGUUUCUUAUUUUGUAUUUUUGCCUUAUGUCUGCCUGGAAUGCUCCUUUGAAAUUUUGUGAUGAAAACUCAGGUUUACUCAGCCCAUAAUACAUACAUACAGUUUACCACCAUAAAUGUGGGAUCAAUCACCUGUUCCUCUUGAUUUGUGCUGCCAGUCAUGUCAAAUUUCACUUUAAAAUAAAGCAGAAAUAUUUCUUGAUAUUUCUAAUAAAUUUAGUGUUUAGUCUAGUCUAAAUGUUGUCUCAUAUUCAGACUUAAAUGACUGUAACUCUAUACUGUGUCCCAGAAAAUGAAGAGUAAAAAUUCUCUUUCGUUUUUUAUUUGAGAUUUCAAAAGUAUAGUGCUAUCCUUUGUGUUUCAGAAAGGGUUAUAAUAGAUGUUUGUCACAUUCACAGUUACUUCAGUAGCAUUAUAAAUAUGAUUGUAUUAAUAAUAUAAUUUAAAGAAUAUAUAGCACAUCAUCAACUCUAAGUCUGUACAUUAUUUUCUAUAUAUUCAGAUCAUCUUCUCCAAUUUAUUUUUCUUUUGGAUUUUUGGGACUGGGACUCCUUGUGUAGUUCUGGUGACCUUGAAGUCAUUAUGUAGCCCAGGUUUGGAAAGAACUGGUGUUUUUCUUCUGCUCAGUCCACCCAACUGCUGGGAUUGUAGAAUGUGCAUCAUGCCUGGCUAUCGAAUUUUAUCUGUGCAUAAUAUUUUUCUCUAUGAUUAUGUUGCAAAUCUUUAAAGAAUUUGUUGAUAAGGUUUUAUAAAGGUGGAUAUAUAACUGCUUGGAGGAAUAUGAGUAUUUCUCAUUAACGUCUUUAGAGCAAUAUGUGAGGAGGCUUUUCUUGUAUAAAACAAAAUAUUGACACAGAGUGAGACAAGUCGCAGGAUGGUCCAUCUCUUAACUCCUUUUAAGGCUGGUAUUAGAAAUUUAUGGAAACACUGAUAAAAGUUCAAUCUUCUAAUAAAAUGUGUUUUUAAAAAUAUAGUUUCUUCCCUAAAAUGUUCACGAUACUCAUAAGUACAUUCUUGCACUUUUGAUUCUAUUAAUAAAUCAUUUUAAAAACUUGUAGUAUGUAAAAAACUCAUCCUAAAACAAAUCUAAAUCAAAGACCAUUUGUUUCUCUGUAGUUAUUAUGUAUAUGUUGACCUUCAUUUUUUAAAAAACAGAUUUGAGAGCUAUUCCCUUAUACUAUGUCUUCUGAUUGGGGAUCCCUUUGUUUUAUUGCAUUCAUAUAGUUUUAGUAUUAAAACUAUGAGAAAGACUUAUUUUCCAGUUGAUCUCUGACAAGAUAGAUCUUCCUGUUGUUCUAAGAUGUGGCUACUUUCAUCAUCUGUGGAUGAUAAUUUUGCCUCUUCCAUUUCUAUCCUAUGUCACUUAUUUCUCUUCCCUGUAUUAUAACAUGACACAUGAAUUUUGGUCUCACAUGGUAGAACAGUAGAUAUAGUGAAUAUCCUUGACUUAUUUCUGAUUGUAAAAGAAUUCAUGAGAGUGUCUUCAUUUACAGUCCCAUAUGUUAAUUUUGUGGUAUAUAUGCUUUAUUUAGUUGUUAAUCCCUUUUGGCUUUUUAUUACAGACAUUUAAUAAAUGAUAGAAAUUAAAAUUUAGGAAACAUGCUUAUGCCAGGAUUCAAAUAAGGUUUUUCUUUGUUGAUUUCUGUUUUUGAUGCUGAACCAUCCUAAUCUUUCAUAAAUAUACAAACAUCACUUAAUUAUGAUAUUAUGGCAAUGUGAGUGUGUAUGUGUGUGAGUAUAUGUCUGUGUGUGUUUGCAUAUAUGUAGUUGUCCCAGGGCAUCACAUAUGCUAGGGACUGGUGCUACCACUUGGGUUCCUGCCAAGAUGAGAAGCUAUUUUCUAAUUAACUCUUGUAAUUUACUAUUUAAUGUUUUAUCCAUGCCUUGAAAUCUGCCUGGAUAGGUGUUACAGGCUUUUCUUAUAAAUGUAUUGCUUGGUUUCAGGUAAAGAUCACACUAACUUGAUGAAAUUUCUGCAGGGAUUUCUUUUGAUUGAUUGAUUGAUUGAUUAAUAGACAGGAUCUCACUAUGUAGCCCAUUACUGACCUUAAACUCACUAUGUAGCCUAGGCUGGCCUUGAACUCAUGGCAAUCCUCCUGUCUCUUCCAAGUGCUAGAAUUACACAUAUAUACCACCAUACCUGGCUCUCUUAUGCUCCCUCCUUUUUUAUUAGACAUGGGAGACCUUGUCUAGCUAAGCAUAUUUUUUAGGAUAAUGGUUACAUUAGUUUAUAUUUUAUACACAUAACAAAUAUAUUGAUCAUGAGGAAUAGGUAUAGAUGUAUAUCUCAUCUUAAUCUGUAUCUCAGUUUUAUGGAAGCACCUGUAAUCCCAUUUGGAGAUGAAUUUAUGAAGGGAAGGUUUUUAAUUGCCACUUGAGUUGCUUGCCAACUUGUUGAAUUCUCCACAGUCCCUCUUAUUCAUAUACCAUAUUUGAAAUUUUACAUAUUACUAGAAAUUUAUAUCUACUAUCAAAAGUUCAUUAAACAAUCAUUUAACUAUACUUUUUAUUUUAAAAUAUCCUCCAUUGACCAAGUGCAGAGGUACAGUAUACUCAUGUAAUCCCAGUAUUCCAGAGACUAUCAACAGGAUCAAAAUUGGGUGGCCAACAUGGGCUAAUAGUGUCUCUUUCUCACAAAUAAAAAUAUCAGUGGUCUUUGCAAAUAUUUCUCAUUUUCAUAGUGAGUUUUGAUGUCACACCUGCUUUGUUAUUUCUUGUUCAUAGUUUUCAGAUUAUUGAAUUCAGUUUUAUUAAUUUUGUUCUCAUGAACUGUUUUGCUAAACAUGUUUCUUGAAACCUCUAUAUUUAACUGAAUUUUUUAUUUCAAACUUUGACAAUGUCCUUAAAUUAUCACCUAAUUCUAAAUAUUUCAAAAUUCAUUUUGUGACAUAUUUGAAACAAGAGAUUAUUUAAGAGGGAGGUUGGCAUCAAAAACAUUGGUGAACUGAAUGUGGUUCAGUCAUAGAGCAUGUGUUUAGGGACAUGGAGGCCCUGGAUGCCAUUCCCUAUCUGGUACUGAGAAAUGAAAGCAAAUGGGAUUGGUAAAUCUUCACUCUCUACAAUUUCUAAGUUUUCUGUAUUUCAAUUAAGAUAAUAUUUAUACUUAGUAAGUGGUAGAAGGUAGCAUAUAUUCUAACAGAAUUUUUGUAAAACUUCUCUUUCUUUGGAAACAUUCUGUUUUCUUUGGAAACAUUCUGGUUUUUUUGAAUGGUCUAAAUAUAUCUAGCACUUAGUGCAUGAAUAUUAUUAACUGACUUACAAUGAAUCAUUUUUACUUUGCAUUUUUGAAGUUUGUUAAAAUUUGUAACCGCAGCAUGUGGAUCAGAGCUGUGUGGGUGUGGGCAAGUCCCAGCCAGGGCCCCCCCUGACCCUAGCAGCUUGGAGGCACUGGCCCCAGUGAAAAGCCUGCCUGGAAAAGAGCUGUAUAGGUGUACAAGCAACAGCCAGAGGCCCAUCCAGAUCCUCAUGUAAGUGCCUGCAGACCCCAGCCAUAAGCCUGCUCAGAAGCCAACUAGUCAGGUACACAACCCCUAGCCCAAGGCCCUCCCAGACAACAGCUACACAGUGCAUCAGGCCCCAGCCAGAGGCAUGCCCAGAUACUAUCUCAAGUGUGCACAGGCCCCACCCAGAGCACCACCUAGCAAACAGGCAGUAGAGUGAUCCAAAAGAGCACCAUUCUGAACCCAGGAAUUAGCAAAGUAGUGAGCAGCAGAGAAAAGACCUCUCGGUGG
This 6426-nucleotide long non-coding RNA is filed under the name Heterocephalus glaber (naked mole-rat). RNAcentral's name for it is "lncRNA (ENSHGLG00000037914.1)". The record is from RNAcentral. Lineage: Eukaryota; Metazoa; Chordata; Mammalia; Rodentia; Bathyergidae.